UGGGGAUAUUGCACAAUGGGCGCAAGCCUGAUGCAGCCAUGCCGCGUGUGUGAAGAAGGCCUUCGGGUUGUAAAGCACUUUCAGCGAGGAGGAAGGUGGUGAACUUAAUACGUUCAUCAAUUGACGUUACUCGCAGAAGAAGCACCGGCUAACUCCGUGCCAGCAGCCGCGGUAAUACGGAGGGUGCAAGCGUUAAUCGGAAUUACUGGGCGUAAAGCGCACGCAGGCGGUUUGUUAAGUCAGAUGUGAAAUCCCCGGGCUCAACCUGGGAACUGCAUUUGAAACUGGCAAGCUAGAGUCUCGUAGAGGGGGGUAGAAUUCCAGGUGUAGCGGUGAAAUGCGUAGAGAUCUGGAGGAAUACCGGUGGCGAAGGCGGCCCCCCUGGACGAAGACUGACGCUCAGGUGCGAAAAGCGUGGGGGAGCAAAACAGAUUAGNUACCCUGGUAGU
RNAcentral lists this ribosomal RNA (449 nucleotides) under uncultured bacterium. RNAcentral describes it as "partial 16S ribosomal RNA". It matches the Rfam family "Bacterial small subunit ribosomal RNA", at positions 356 to 794 of the family's 1533-position model. The record is from RNAcentral.